CUGAGACCUGAUGCCGAGCCGAUUGUGGUGAAGUGGAUGAUCCUAUGCUGUCGAGAAAAGCCUCUAGCGAGUUUCAUGGCGGCCCGUACCCUAAACCGACUCAGGUGGUCAGGUAGAGAAUACCGAGGCGUUCGGGUGAACUAUGGUUAAGGAACUCGGCAAAAUGCCCCCGUAACUUCGGGAGAAGGGGGGCCAUCACUGGUGAUCCAAUUUACUUGGUGAGCUGGGGGUGGCCGCAGAGACCAGCGAGAAGCGACUGUUUACUAAAAACACAGGUCCGUGCGAAGCCGUAAGGCGAUGUAUACGGACUGACGCCUGCCCGGUGCUGGAACGUUAAGGGGACCGGUUAGUCACAUUUCGGUGUGGCGAAGCUGAGAACUUAAGCGCCAGUAAACGGCGGUGGUAACUAUAACCAUCCUAAGGUAGCGAAAUUCCUUGUCGGGUAAGUUCCGACCUGCACGAAUGGCGUAACGACUUCUCGACUGUCUCAACCAUAGGCCCGGUGAAAUUGCACUACGAGUAAAGAUGCUCGUUUCGCGCAGCAGGACGGAAAGACCCCGGGACCUUUACUACAGUUUGAUAUUGGUGUUCGGUUCGGCUUGUGUAGGAUAGGUGGGAGACUUUGAAGCGGCCACGCCAGUGGUUGUGGAGUCGUCGUUGAAAUACCACUCUGGUCGUGCUGGAUGUCUAACCUCGGUCCGUGAUCCGGAUCAGGGACAGUGUCUGAUGGGUAGUUUAACUGGGGCGGUUGCCUCCUAAAGAGUAACGGAGGCGCCCAAAGGUUCCCUCAGCCUGGUUGGCAAUCAGGUGUUGAGUGUAAGUGCACAAGGGAGCUUGACUGUGAGACCGACGGGUCGAGCAGGGACGAAAGUCGGGACUAGUGAUCCGGCGGUGGCUUGUGGAAGCGCCGUCGCUCAACGGAUAAAAGGUACCCCGGGGAUAACAGGCUGAUCUUCCCCAAGAGUCCAUAUCGACGGGAUGGUUUGGCACCUCGAUGUCGGCUCGUCGCAUCCUGGGGCUGGAGUCGGUCCCAAGGGUUGGGCUGUUCGCCCAUUAAAGCGGUACGCGAGCUGGGUUUAGAACGUCGUGAGACAGUUCGGUCCCUAUCCGCUGCGCGCGCAGGAACAUUGAGAAGGGCUGUCCCUAGUACGAGAGGACCGGGACGGACGAACCUCUGGUGUGCCAGUUGUCCUGCCAAGGGCAUGGCUGGUUGGCUACGUUCGGAAAGGAUAACCGCUGAAAGCAUCUAAGCGGGAAGCCUGCUUCGAGAUGAGUGUUCCCACCUCCUUGAGAGGGUAAGGCUCCCAGUAGACGACUGGGUUGAUAGGCCAGAUGUGGAAGCCCGGUAACGGGUGGAGCUGACUGGUACUAAUAGGCCGAGGGCUUGUCCUC
This 1392-nucleotide ribosomal RNA is filed under the name Streptomyces sp. MAG02. Its description in RNAcentral is "partial 23S ribosomal RNA". It matches the Rfam family "Bacterial large subunit ribosomal RNA", at positions 1556 to 2925 of the family's 2925-position model. Lineage: Bacteria; Bacillati; Actinomycetota; Actinomycetes; Kitasatosporales; Streptomycetaceae. RNAcentral also lists the same sequence under 8 other names. The record is from RNAcentral.